This is a long non-coding RNA of Passer montanus (Eurasian tree sparrow), 599 nucleotides long. RefSeq lists it as uncharacterized. NCBI's taxonomy places the organism in Eukaryota, Metazoa, Chordata, Aves, Passeriformes, Passeridae. The record is from RefSeq and is a predicted model, not a curated record. The transcript is spliced from 3 exons.
CCCUGGUGCCUUGUCCCUAGGAGCAAAUGCUGGGUGCAGUGAGCUGGUUUGGUUACUAUUGCUGAAAGAAAACAGCAAUAACAUUUUUGAUUUAUGUCACCUGAUUGGGCCAGAUUGUUCUGCAAAUGUGUAAGUCACUGCUGUUUGUGAGUACAUCUGUAAGGAUGAGCCAGGUGUUACACCUCACCUGCAGCUGGACUGAUACUUCUUCACCUCCUUGGAAUCUUGAGCAAUUUCUCAAAAACAGAGUUAAGGAUAAUGCCUUGUGGAUAACAAAAGCCAAGACAUUUGGGAAAUCAAUUUGAGUUUGAAAGGAACGAGAGUAGGGCAGGUUUGUCCUAUCAUGCUACAGAGCUAUGCUCACAGAAGAGAAUUGAUAAUGAAAAACAUGAUGUGGAGAAAGAAAAUAAAGAAGAGAGGGAUGAUAGCAGGAUGACAUUUAAGAAGAGGAUUGCUAUGAGCAGGUACUCCUGCUCAUAAAUGGAUUAAACUGCCUUCCCCCGAAGACAAAGAGACAUUUCUAUUGAUUUCAGAGGGAAAUGAAUUAAGUCCAUUUUCUUUAAACUUGGCACCAGUUGUCAUCACUUAGAGCUAUUCAG